This 377-nucleotide ribosomal RNA is filed under the name uncultured bacterium. Its description in RNAcentral is "bacterial SSU rRNA". It matches the Rfam family "Bacterial small subunit ribosomal RNA", at positions 521 to 896 of the family's 1533-position model. The record is from RNAcentral.
UAAUACGUAGGGUGCUAGCGUUGUUCGGAAUCAUUGGGCGUAAAGCGCGUGUAGGUGGCUGUAUAAGUCGAAUGUGAAAUCCCUGGGCUCAACCGAGGAAGUGCAUUCGAUACUGUAUAGCUCGAGGACGGUAGAGGAAGGUGGAAUUCCAAAAGUAGAGGUGAAAUUCGUAGAUAUUUGGAGGAAUACCGGCGGCGAAGGCGGCCUUCUGGGCCGUUCCUGACACUGAGACGCGAAAGCGUGGGUAGCAAACAGGAUUAGAUACCCUGGUAGUCCACGCUGUAAACGAUGAGUACUAGGUGUUGCGGGAAUUGACCCCUGCAGUGCCGUAGCUAACGCAUUAAGUACUCCGCCUGGGAAGUACGGUCGCAAGAUUA